UCACUGGUCAGACAGGUUCGAAGCCCCCUUGCAUAAUGACUCAUCCCCUGUCCUGGUGGGCCGUGCUAAUUGUCAAAUCUGAUGGAAACCAUCUGACUGGCAGCAAAGCCAAGGACAGAAUGAGUCUACUUCUGAUCUCUCUCCAGGUUGGGGCUGCUGUGACGCCACGGACUUUGGAGGAAUUGCUCCCAGUUUACACGAGUGCCAAUGCAGCCAGCUCCGAGUGACCCCGUUUCCAACCGGACUUCUCCGCGGAAGCGGCGUGCUACUCACUGCCCCUCUGUUUCCCUCCAUCCUCCACUGAUGUAAUGCCGGCUGGGGGCACAUACUCUCUCUCCCUGAGCGCUAGUGGAGGACCAGCCGAAGAGGGGCCUGGUUCUGGCCGGGGGCCCGACGGAUGAGCAGCACAGUCCUCUAUUAACCGGACUGGAAUAUCAGCAUUGGGAGCCAGCCACGAGGCCUCGGUGUCAGCGUUCACUAUUCCCUCGCCGGUCGCUUUGUGUAGGGGUUUUUUGAAGGAAAAACAGGUCAAAAUUGGAACAAAAUGCUUUUGUGGUUUUCUCAUGUGGGCACAUUUUGGAAUGGAAGAAAAAUGUGAAAAUGCAACACCUGCCAGGAAAUGGAGCAUCUCGUUUCUGUCGGCGCGAAUAGAAGCAGAGCGACAGCAUCUGAUCCCAGCAAAGAGGGUGGGAAUGUAGCCACAAACUUUGAUGGCAUUGGGUUGGGCACACGGCCAUACGGAGACCGUUCUGAAGCACAUGGAAGGUCCGGAUCGCAUCUUCUCCUUGCUUAGUGGCGAUCAUGUUUGGCUAGCAGUUGCUGAGAACUGCAGCAUUUUUUGUUUGUCAUUUUUUUCUUUUGGCAAACAGCAGAAAAAUUCUAUUAAAAAUGUUCACCUUCUCUCCUCAGUUCCGGCCUGUUUGCAUAAAAAACCUCUUUUUUGGUCCAAAAUAAUGGUUUGGACAGAAACUUGCUGACAGUUCUAUGAUCACCGCUUUGCCGUUACCCAUACCAGGCUUGUGCGAGGUCUGGCCUCUUUCACACUCCUGCAUGUUCCACCGACACAAACCUACCCAACAACCCCAUGAUCACACAAAGAGCCAGCUGAGAGCAACUGUUCCAUCCUGAGCCCCGUAAGGUCUUAUCGCCGGGGUGGGCAAUAAUUUUUGGCUGGGGGCCACUUCAAAAAUGAAAGGGUGGGGCCUAAAUCAGAAGGGGUGGGGCCAGGAUAUGUGGCAGGCCAAAUCUGCCCCGUGGUGGCCCUUUGGCCCACGCCUGCCUUAUCGUGUAGGCUGACCAAAGCCAGGC
This is a non-coding RNA of Pelodiscus sinensis (Chinese soft-shelled turtle), 1308 nucleotides long. The record is from RefSeq and is a predicted model, not a curated record. Lineage: Eukaryota; Metazoa; Chordata; Testudines; Trionychidae.